UACGGUAGGCAGCGAGCGUUGUUCGGAGUUACUGGGCGUAAAGGGUGUGUAGGCGGUUGUUUAAGUUUGGUGUGAAAUCUCCCGGCUCAACUGGGAGGGGUGCGCCGAAAUACUGAAUGACUAGAGUGCGGGAGAGGUGAGUGGAAUUCCUGGUGGUAGCGGUGAAAUGCGUAGAUAUCAGGAGGAACACCGGUGGUGUAGACGGCUCACUGGACCGUAACUGACGCUGAGGAGCGAAAGCGUGGGGAGCGAACAGG
Molecule: ribosomal RNA, 257 nt
Filed under: uncultured bacterium
Lineage: Bacteria
Description: partial 16S ribosomal RNA
Rfam family: Bacterial small subunit ribosomal RNA
Source: RNAcentral